RNAcentral lists this ribosomal RNA (497 nucleotides) under uncultured bacterium. RNAcentral's name for it is "partial 16S ribosomal RNA". It matches the Rfam family "Bacterial small subunit ribosomal RNA", at positions 28 to 507 of the family's 1533-position model. The record is from RNAcentral.
GACGAACGCUGGCGGCGUGCCUAAUACAUGCAAGUUGAGCGAUGCAGUUUGGUGCUUGCACCAAUUUGAAGAGCAGCGAACGGGUGAGUAACGCGUGGGGAAUCUGCCUUUGAGCGGGGGACAACAUUUGGAAACGAAUGCUAAUACCGCAUAACAACUUUAAACAUAAGUUUUAAGUUUGAAAGAUGCAAUUGCAUCACUCAAAGAUGAUCCCGCGUUGUAUUAGCUAGUUGGUGAGGUAAAGGCUCACCAAGGCGAGGAUACAUAGCCGACCUGAGAGGGUGAUCGGCCACAUUGGGACUGAGACACGGCCCAAACUCCUACGGGAGGCAGCAGUAGGGAAUCUUCGGCAAUGGACGAAAGUCUGACCGAGCAACGCCGCGUGAGUGAAGAAGGUUGUCGGAUCGUAAAACUCUGUUGGUAGAGAAGAACGUUGGUGAGAGUGGAAAGCUCAUCAAGUGACGGUAACUACCCAGAAAGGGACGGCUAACUACGUG